This 497-nucleotide ribosomal RNA is filed under the name uncultured bacterium. RNAcentral describes it as "partial 16S ribosomal RNA". It matches the Rfam family "Bacterial small subunit ribosomal RNA", at positions 28 to 507 of the family's 1533-position model. The record is from RNAcentral.
GAUGAACGCUGGCGGCGUGCCUAAUACAUGCAAGUCGAGCGAACGGACGAGAAGCUUGCUUCUCUGAUGUUAGCGGCGGACGGGUGAGUAACACGUGGAUAACCUACCUAUAAGACUGGGAUAACUUCGGGAAACCGUAGCUAAUACCGGAUAAUAUUUUGAACCGCAUGGUUCAAAAGUGAAAGACGGUCUUGCUGUCACUUAUAGAUGGAUCCGCGCUGCAUUAGCUAGUUGGUAAGGUAACGGCUUACCAAGGCAACGAUGCAUAGCCGACCUGAGAGGUGGGUCGGCCACACUGGAACUGAGACACGGGCCAGACUCCUACGGGAGGCAGCAGUAGGGAAUCUUCCGCAAUGGGCGAAAGCCUGACAGAUCAACGCCGCGUGAGUGAUGAAGGUCUUCGGAUCGUAAAACUCUGUUAUUAGGGAAGAACAUAUGUGUAAGUAACUGUGCACAUCUUGACGGUACCUAAUCAGAAAGCCACGGCUAACUACGUG